GGGUCCCCUUAGCGCCUCUGGGAGGGCCGCUGUCCGUAGUGCUGACCCACUGAGCGGCCUGCCUGCCCACCACAGAGCGCAGCCCCUGCCCCCUAGCCCCCGUUCCUUUGCCCCAACGCAGCAGGUGGAGCGCAUUGGUGACAUAGAGGAGCGGCAAGAUCCUGGUGUCCCUGAUGCUACAGCACUCAGCAAGGAGGCCUCAUCGUGGGCAUCAUCCGCUGUGUGCACCUGGCCGCCAUGGACGCCAAUGGCUACUCAGACCCUUUUGCGUCAAGCUGUGAGUCGGGGCCUCGGGACCCUGAAGGGACCAUGAGGGUCUCAGUCCUUGGAAAGGGAGAGCCAGAGGGCUUCCUCCAAGUCACAGCACCCGAAGACCCAGACAGGGGACGAGCCUGCCACGGUCUCAGUGACACAGGGAUUGGAGUGGGAGGCUGGCGCCUCAGGUGCUGGGCCAGGCGCGACACCUGCCACGGGUGAGGCUUUGUGAUUCUGUCCCUCCUGGGGGCAGGAGGUGUGGUCACAGUAACCCCCUAGGACUCCCAGGAGUCGGCUGCAUUCCCUGUGGCAGCUCAGAACCUCACAGCAAGGAAGUCAUGUGGCUUCUCCCGAUUCAUUCUGCAGAUGCACCAAGGAAAGACCUGAGACCUGGGGGCUAUUCCAGGACCCUCAGUCCUGGGGCGUAGAUCCAAGCGCAUGAAUCAGCCUCUCAGCGUCCUCCCCUGAAGUGGAGAUUGCAGUUCUGUUUCUGUCCAGGGGACACGGGCUCAAAUGAGACAGCAUACCCAAAAUGCUCAGGGCUAGAAGUGUCUCAGAUUUUGCACUUUUUAAGAUUUGGGAAUAUUUACAUCUACAUAGUGAAAUAUGUUGGGUAGUACCCAAGUCUAAGCACAAAAUUCAUUUAGGUUUCAUAUACCCUUUUACCAGAGCCCAAAGGUAAGUUUAUAGUACGUUUAGUGCACCUGUGUUUUGACUGCUGCCAUCACACGAGGUCAGGUGUGAAGGGUUCAGAUUUCUAAAAGUUUCAGAUUUUGGAGCAUUUCUGAUUUAGGGGUCAGAGAUGCCCAACCUGUAUAAAGCAGUUAGAACUGUGCCUGGUGCCAGAAUGUUUUGCACCUGAGUAGAAUUCUGCUUUGCUGUGUGGCAGCGAAGUGCAUUUUGUGGACAUGGUUAAGGACAUGGGCUCUGGAUCCAGACUGCUCUGUUAGGGUUCAGUAUUCUCCAGCUGUGUGACAUUGGGCUUGUGGCUUAACUUCUGGGCCUAGGAGUCCUCAUCUGUAAAGUAGAGAGAGCAACACUGUGCAGUAUUAGUCCUGGUGCUCCAAGAAGGAGACACCAGGAGUGCAUGAGAUACACAAGAGAUUCAUUGGGGAAAAUGCCUGUGAAGGGAAUCAGGAAGAGGAGGUCCCUAGAGACAGCAGAGUUUGUCCGCUUUAUCAGAGAUCUGAUUUAUCAAGGAAGGGAGGAGGGAGGGAAGGAAGUCGAAGCAGGAAGACUUCCUGGCUGCAGUGCAGUUCCAAGAUGUUUCAGCCGGCCACUGCGAGGCCUUGAGCACAAAGCCACCCAUCCAAGAAGCCCCAGUGGGCUGCCCCCCGCACCCAUCCCUGCAGGCCUGUGAUUGGCUGAGGGCAGCAUGAUGUCAGUUCACAGCCCUGUAGCUUUUCUGUUAAUUUCAGCCCCUGCAGUUGGAGAUCUGAGAAGUGCAGUUUCAUGGGGUUUUGACAUAAUAAGUGUUCAAUAAACACCUGCUGUUGUGGUUAUAAAUAACUACCAUGGCUUUGCUUACUCAUGGCAGAGUGUCUAUUAGUGUUCUCUCUGGGUGGAAGGCACCCCCCCACACACACUACCCCAUACCCAAAGCAAAACUUCCCUUAAGCCCAGGGCUAAAGAACAGGCCUGUGUGGAUUUUCUGUGAGCAAAGAUUUAGUUAAAACACAUGCUCCAGGGAUAAGUGUGAUUUCUCAGAAUAAUUUGGUUUUGUUUCCU
RNAcentral lists this long non-coding RNA (1983 nucleotides) under Heterocephalus glaber (naked mole-rat). Its description in RNAcentral is "lncRNA (ENSHGLG00100046946.1)". The record is from RNAcentral. Lineage: Eukaryota; Metazoa; Chordata; Mammalia; Rodentia; Bathyergidae.